AUGACUCUCGGCAACGGAUAUCUCGACUCUCGCAUCAAUGAAGAAUGUAGCGAAAUGCGAUACUUGGUGUGAAUUGCAGAAUCUCAUGAACCAUCGAGUCUUUCAACGCAAGUUGUACCCCAAUCCAUUAGGUCGAGGGCAUGCCUACCUGGGUGUCAUGCACCGUCGCCCCCCUUGACCCCCGCCCAUCGGGCUCCGAGGGAAGGGGGCGGGUGUAAGAUGGCCUUCCGUGAUCCCGUCGAUCACGAUUGGCCCAAAAGCGAGUCCCCGACAAUGAUAGUGCCGUGACUGUUGGUGGUAGAGCUCUCGACGUGCCUCGUCCUCGGUGACGUGUGCUCGUUGUCCACCCGACCCUGUCGAACCCCCCGCAUCGCUCAAUUGAUGCUCGUGUAGCAACCCUAGGUCAGGCAAUACCACUUACUGAGUUUAAGCAUAUCAAUAAACGGAGGAACAAAAACUUACUAGGAUUCCCCUAGUUACGGUGAGUGAAUCGAGAAGAGCCCAGCUUGAGAAUCAAGCACCCCCGAUGACCAAAUUUUAGUCUGGAGAAGCGUCCUCAGCAGUGGACCGGGCCUAAGUCCCCUGGAAAGGGGUGCCAGAGAGGGUGAGAGCCCCAUUGUGCCAAGACCCUGUCGCACCACAUGGCGCUAUCCACAAGUCAGAUUGUUUGGGAAUGCAGCCCCAAUCGGGUAGUAAAUUCCGUCCAAGGCUGAAUACAAGCGAGAAACCGAUAAUGACCAAGUACCACGAGGGAAAGAUGAAAAGGACUUUGAAAAGGGAGUCAAAGAGUGUAUGAAAUUGUCAGGAAGGAAGCGAAUGGGGGCCUAUGCCCCAAUCGGAUGUGGAAUGACAAGAGCCGAUCCGACGAUCAGCUUGGGGCAUGGACCAACGUGAGUCGCAUCGAUGACCUAAGCCUAGGCUUUCGAUGUGCCCGUGGAGACAUCAUCAUCGUGAUCAUGGAAUGCAGCAUGUGUCGUGUCGAUGUGCCUCGGCACCCGCGUGCUCCUGAUGUCGACCUGUGGGCUCCCCAUCCGACCCGUCUUGAAACACGGACCAAGGAGUCUGACAUGCAUACGAGUCAACAGGCCAAGAAACCCGUAAGGCGUAAGGAAGCUGAUUGGCAGGAUCCCUCACGGGUACACCAUCGAUCGACUUUGAUCUUCUAAGAAGGGUUCGAGUGCGACCAUGCCCGUCGAGACCCAAAAGAUGGUGAACUUUGCCUAAGUGGGGCAAAGCCAAAGGAAACUCUGGUGGAGGCUCGCAGUGAUAUUGACGUGCAAAUUGUUCGUCUGACUUGGGUAUAGGGGCGAAAGACUAACGAACUAUCUAGUAGCUGGUUCCCUCUAAAGUUUCCCUCCGGAUAGCUGGAGCCCCCGGUGAGUUCUAUCGAGUAAAGCCAAUGAUUAGAGGCAUCGGGGGCGCAAUGCCCUUGACCUAUUCUCAAACUUUAAAUAGGUAGGACGGUGCAGCUGCUUCAUUAAGCCUUGCCACAGAAUCGAGAGCUCCAAGUAGGCCAUUUUUGGUAAGCAGAACUGGCGAUGUAGGAUGAACUGGAGUCAGUUACGGUGCCCAACUGUGCACUAACCCAAAACCCACAAAGGGUGUUGGUUGAUUACGACAAUAGGACGGUGGUCAUGGAAGUCAAAAUCCGCUAAGGAGUUUGUAGCAACUAGCCCUGAAAAUGGAUGGCACUCAACGGGGGCUUCAGGAAGAGUUAUCUUUUCUAUUUAACGGCUUGCCCACCAUGGAAACGUCUCAACCUGAGGUAAGGUCCAGUGGUCGAAAAAGCACCGCAUGUCAUGUGGUGUUCGGUGCGCCCCUGGUAGCCCUUAAAAAUUUAGAAGAUUGAAUACCGUCUGCGCCCGAUCAUACUCAUAACCGCAUCAGGUCUCCAAAGUGAACAACCUUUGGUCGAUGGAAUAAUGUAGGUAAGGGAAGUCAGUAAAAUGGAUCCAUAACAUCGGGAAAAGGAUUGGCUCUGAGGGCUGGGCAUGGGGGUCCUAGUCUCAAACCCGUCGGCUACUGAUGCACUGCUCGAGCUGCUCUCACGAUGAGAGCGGGUCGUCGUGUGCCAGUCAAGGAUGGACUACGAACGGCUCCUUCGGGGGCCUUCCCUGAGCACCGAACAAUCGACUUAGAACUGGUAUGGAUAAGGGGAAUCUAACUAUUUAAUUAAAACAAAGCAUUGUGAUGGUCCUACGGAUGUUCAUGCAAUGUGAUUUCUGCCCAGUGCUCUAACUGUCAAAGUGAAGAAAUUCAAUCAAGCGUGGGUAAAUGGUAGGAGUAACUAUGACUCUCUUAAGGUAGCCAAAUGCCUCAUCAUCUAAUUAGUGAUGCGCAUGAAUGGAUUAACGAGAUUCCCACUAUCCUUGUCUACUAUCCAGUGAAACCACAGCCAAAGGAACAGGCUUGGUGGAAUCAACGGGGAAAGAAAACCCUGUUGAGCUUGACUCUAGGUCGACUUUGUGAACCGACUUGAAAGGUGUAGGAUAAGUGGGAGCCCUCGGGCGAAAUUGAAAUACCACUACUUUUAAUGUUAUUUUACUUAUUUCGUGAAUCGAAGAUGGGGCACGACCCCUUCUUUUGGACCUAAGGUCAGCCUCAGUUGGUCGAUCCGGGCAAAAGACAUUGUCAGGUGGGGAGUUUAGCUGGGUUGGCACAUCUGUUAAAAGAUAACGUAGAUGUCCUAAGAUGAGCUCAACGAGAACAGAAAUCUCGUGUGGAAGAAAAGGGUAAAAGCUCAUUUUAUUCUGAUUUCCAGUACGAAUACGAAUUGUGAAAGCGUGGCCUAUUGAUCCUUUAGACCUUCGAGAUUUGAAGCUAGAGGUGUCAAAAAAGUUACCACAGGGAUAUCUAGCUUGUGGCAGCCAAGCAUUCAUAGUGACAUUACUUUUUGAUCCUUCAAUGUCGGCUCUUCCUAUCAUUAUGAAGUAGAAUUCACCAAGUGUUGGAUUGUUCACCCACCAAUAGGGAACGUGAGCUGGGUUUAGACUGUCGUGAGAUGAUUAGUUUUACCCUACUGAUGGCGACGUCGUAAUAGUAAUUCAACCUAGUACGAGAGGAACUGUUGAUUCGCAUAAUUGGUCAUUGCGCUUGGUUGAAAAGCUAGUGGUGCGAAGCUACCAUGUGCUGGAUUAUGACUGAAUGCCUCUAAGUCAGAAUUAAAGUUGGAAGAGGCGCGCGCCCGUCGCCCGAUUGCCAACCCUUAGUAGGGGCCCAUGGCCCUCAAGAGCACGUGUCGUAGGUGCAGCCCCUACGGCAGAUGAGCUGCACUGGCCUCCUUGGAGCUCAAUUCCUAUCGAGCGGUGGUAUAAUCUUUUACAGAUGACUUAAAUAUGCGAUGGGGUAUUGUAAGUGGUAGAGUGGCCUUGCUUCCACGAUCCACUAAGAUUCAACCCUUUAUC
This 3404-nucleotide ribosomal RNA is filed under the name Durio zibethinus. Its description in RNAcentral is "eukaryotic LSU rRNA". The stretch from base 394 to 3404 matches the Rfam family "Eukaryotic large subunit ribosomal RNA". The record is from RNAcentral. Lineage: Eukaryota; Viridiplantae; Streptophyta; Magnoliopsida; Malvales; Malvaceae.